This 390-nucleotide long non-coding RNA is filed under the name Amborella trichopoda. RNAcentral's name for it is "long non-coding RNA (ATRI_LNC002246)". Lineage: Eukaryota; Viridiplantae; Streptophyta; Magnoliopsida; Amborellales; Amborellaceae. The record is from RNAcentral.
CCAAUUUGAUGUGUAGCCUAUGCUACACAUCUUCUCGCUUAGGGCUUGCAACAGCAAAAAGCCCACUUCUAUUUUUUCUUUGCUCGCGCCCUCUCAAACUUUUUCUUUGACAUUGCUACCACCGGCUUUGCUCGUUGGUAACCAAAGUUACCUUUGGUUACUGCAACCAUAGGUUCUCUUUGGAAACGUUAGCAAAGAAAGCUUAAACAGGAUCGGGGCUUGGCUUGCAUUAGUUGUAGCCUACCUAACCUAUAAUUCUAAUAGAAUAUAAAUAUAAUGUAAUAUAAUAUAAGUAGGCUUUCAUUCUAGAAGCGGUAGCUUCCAUGCCAGAAAAAAGGCCUCCUUCCUUUCGUAGCCAGGCCGGCCGCAGAAGCGAGAAGGAUGAGCUUC